UANGCUAGUACACGUGGACACCUACCCUCCGGACGGGUAUAAACCCGGGAAACUGGGUAUAAUCCCCGAUAGAUCUCGGUCGCUGGAAAGCCCCGAGAUCGAAAGCUCCGGCGCCAGAGGAUGGGUCUGCGGCCUAUCAGGUAGUAGUGGGUGUAGCGUACCUACUAGCCUACGACGGGUACGGGUUGUGAGAGCAAGAGCCCGGAGAUGGAUUCUGAGACACGAAUCCAGGCCCUACGGGGUGCAGCUGGCGCGAAAACUUUACAAUGCCGGCAACGGCGAUAAGGGGACCUCGAGUGCCAGGUUACAAAUCUGGCUGUCGUGAUGCCUAAAAAGCAUUGCAUAGCAAGGGCCGGGCAAGACCGGUGCCAGCCGCCGCGGUAACACCGGCGGCUCGAGUGGUAACCGUUAUUAUUGGGUCUAAAGGGUCUGUAGCCGGCCAGAUAAGUCUCUUGAGAAAUCCAGCAGCUCAACUGUUGGGCUUUCAGGAGAUACUGUCUGGCUCGAGGCCGGGAGAGGUGAGAGGUACUUCAGGGGUAGGGGUGAAAUCUUGUAAUCCUUGAAGGACCACCAGUGGCGAAGGCGUCUCACCAGAACGGACCUGACGGCAAGGGACGAAAGCUAGGGGCACGAACCGGAUUAGAUACCCGGGUAGUCCUAGCCGUAAACGAUACUCGCUAGGUGUCGGCCACGGUGCGACCGUUGUCGGUGCCGUAGGGAAGCCGUGAAGCGAGCCACCUGGGAAGUACGGCCGCAAGGCUGAAACUUAAAGGAAUUGGCGGGGGAGCACCACAACGGGUGGAGCUUGCGGUUUAAUUGGAUUCAACGCCGGAAAUCUUACCGGGACCGACAGCAAUAUGAAGGCCAGGCUGAAGACUUUGCCGGAUUAGCUGAGAGGUGGUGCAUGGCCCGUCGUCAGUUCGUACUGUGAAGCAUCCUGUUAAGUCAGGCAACGAGCCGAGACCCGGA
RNAcentral lists this ribosomal RNA (969 nucleotides) under uncultured Methanosarcinales archaeon. RNAcentral's name for it is "bacterial SSU rRNA". It matches the Rfam family "Archaeal small subunit ribosomal RNA", at positions 83 to 1056 of the family's 1478-position model. Lineage: Archaea; Methanobacteriati; Methanobacteriota; Methanomicrobia; Methanosarcinales. The record is from RNAcentral.